Long non-coding RNA from Cynoglossus semilaevis (tongue sole), 1049 nucleotides. RefSeq lists it as uncharacterized. The record is from RefSeq and is a predicted model, not a curated record. The transcript has 6 exons. NCBI's taxonomy places the organism in Eukaryota, Metazoa, Chordata, Actinopteri, Pleuronectiformes, Cynoglossidae.
AAGUGUUGUCGUUAAAAAGGGGCAUAUACUCUUUAAUAUUCAAUUCAAUUCCAUUUUUAUUUAUAGAGUACAUUCCAUGCACAACGCAAACUCAUUGUGCCUUACAGUGGUUCAAACAGUUAAAAUAUAUAUAUAUAUAAACAGUAGUUUGAGGCCUGUCUUCUUAACAUGGCUAAGUGAAUGGGGAAGGUGACUGAGUUCACAGGGCGAUAUGACUAGUUAAGAUCUGAGGCAGAUUUGAAUCCAACCAUGAAUUAUUACGUAAAACCAGAGGAGAGCUACCAGUUAGAGCGCCCAUAUCAUAGUUCUCGACAGUAAGAGCACUGACAUUAGUCUGCAGUGAUCGUGUGUCUACUCAUUGACAAAUUAAUGAGCCUGCACUGUCACCUGGUGGAUUGCAGAUACCGUGCAGGACGCUUGUGAUUGGAUAACGAGGCGCCUCUGUGCCCUUUAAAACCGGAAGGAAGUGGUAAUACUUUCCGUUCGGGUGAUGGUCGCAACAAGGCGCAGUGUGAAGGCACGGACAAAAAAAAAGGUGUAGCAGCAGACCGGUGGACUCCAUGACGCCAAGAAGUUCGAAGCAUCUGGUUUCUGUUACGUGAACGUCGUCGCCCUGGCCAUUUGUGAGCUUUUCAAGACAUCAGGGCUGGAAAGAACAAAUACUGCGCAGUGAAUAACCCACGAAGCCAUCUUUAAACCAUUUGAGCCCAAAGAAUAGCAUGUGAGAGGGAGGUCCAGGAAUGCUGCCAACCAAGGGGGGAAAAAGGAAGCAGAAGAGAGUUCAAAAGAAGAGGUUUAAUGAAGUUGUUCCACUCCUGAUGAUGGGACCUUUGAAUCCUGUGAGCACAUGGUUGACAGAAGUAGUGUUAUGUGCAAUGGAGGAGAACACAGACACGGCAGCUUGGACUCUGCCAGGUAGAGUGAAGGAGCAACUUUAUUGGAAGCAGAUCACUUGAUGUUUGCUGGACUUGUGAGUGUUUUACUGAAUUGUGAUAAUUUGCUGUGUAACUUGACUGCUAUGCUAUUGUCGACUUUGACAUGUUUUUUUA